Molecule: transfer RNA, 73 nt
Filed under: Coxiellaceae bacterium
Lineage: Bacteria; Pseudomonadati; Pseudomonadota; Gammaproteobacteria; Legionellales; Coxiellaceae
Description: tRNA-Arg
Rfam family: tRNA
About the family: Transfer RNA (tRNA) molecules are approximately 80 nucleotides in length.
Source: RNAcentral
CCGUAGCUCAGCUGGAUAGAGUACCUGGCUACGAACCAGGCGGUCGGAGGUUCGAAUCCUUCCGGGCGCGCCA